RNAcentral lists this transfer RNA (74 nucleotides) under Hymenobacter latericius. RNAcentral's name for it is "Hymenobacter sp. YIM 151858-1 tRNA-His". It matches the Rfam family "tRNA". Rfam says of the family: Transfer RNA (tRNA) molecules are approximately 80 nucleotides in length. Their secondary structure includes four short double-helical elements and three loops (D, anti-codon, and T loops). Lineage: Bacteria; Pseudomonadati; Bacteroidota; Cytophagia; Cytophagales; Hymenobacteraceae. The record is from RNAcentral.
GUGCUAGUAGCUCAGCAGGUUAGAGCGUCAGAUUGUGAUUCUGAAGGUCAGCGGUUCGAGCCCGCUUUAGCACC